RNAcentral lists this long non-coding RNA (752 nucleotides) under Homo sapiens (human). RNAcentral describes it as "HSALNT0001251". Lineage: Eukaryota; Metazoa; Chordata; Mammalia; Primates; Hominidae. The record is from RNAcentral.
CCUGCCUCGGCCUCCCAAAGUGCUGAGAUUACAGGCGUGAGAUACCACGCCCGGCCCAGAUUUCAUUUUAAUAGCCUAUGAUUUAGGUAGGGGUAGGAAAAGAAAGAGGGAGGCAAGUUAAGAAAACUUCCUUAGUUGUACUCUCUACCAUGGUAAGCAUAAGUAGCCUUUAAAUUAAAAACAUAGAUUACUUUUAAAAUAAUGCCAUGUUUUAAUGUAAUUAAAAUACUCCUGCAUGAAUUCAAGAAAAGCUUGAUGGCUUCAGUAAACAUUAAAAUAUAGUUCAGUGUGGCAAAGAUGAACAUUUGUGUCUGUGUUUGCAGCUCCAUUCCUCAGAGGCUCUUAAACAUGUCCAGAACAUAAUGGACCAUUUGUAGGUGGUGAAAUAGAGGCAACAGAGAAAAUAAUUUAUCUUCAAACUGUCAAAUAAAAAAUAAAUGACGUAAUUUAUUCAAUAAUUCAGAAUGCUUUCUAGCUAAGUAUUUUAAAAAAUGGUAAACUAACAAAAAACCCAUUCCCUCAACUACCAUAAUCCAGUCUUUCAACUCACUUAAGCCUCCCACACAAUUUUAGUGUGACAGCAGAAAAGUAGGAUAGCAGGAAUACAUUCUUUUGUCCUUUGUAUUUCUCCUACAGAGUAGCACAAUCAGUAACUAUAUAUACACACAGAGGGGAGAAAAAUAUUAUUUCUUUUUGACAUAUAACAAUAGAUUAUUUCUUACUAUAAAAGUGAAUUCUAAUCUAAAGACAAC